UGCCACCGAACUAAAGUAGCAAAAGGAAGAUCUAUAUAUGAAAUUACAAUAAAGGUUGAGGCAAGUAACUUGACAGUAACUUUAAUAUAGCUUUUAUGACUAAAUUGGUAGUGAAGAAAGAGUGACACAUGCAUUAGUACGAUUGCAGCCUUGUUUCUUAUCCAGGGUCAAACUUUUUCAAGGGAAAAAAGGUCAUUGAGUACAACCCAACACAAGGUCUUAUAUAGAGAGCAUGGACUUUAAGUUCCCUGUGGUUACUCAGCUGGGCAGAGGUGGAAGGUAUUUCCGAAAUCUUUCAGCUUUACGAUACAGAAAGAAAAUCCGCAAUGCUUUGAAGAAGCUUCCUUUCAUGAGGAUUUUGAAAUUUCUGAGCCACAGAUAUAUCCAAACAUUCUAACAGGAAAAUUUUAGAGUAAAAUUUAAACUUUUGAUCAAUGGAAA
Molecule: long non-coding RNA, 441 nt
Filed under: Anser brachyrhynchus (Pink-footed goose)
Lineage: Eukaryota; Metazoa; Chordata; Aves; Anseriformes; Anatidae
Description: lncRNA (ENSABRG00000005658.1)
Source: RNAcentral